Molecule: long non-coding RNA, 365 nt
Filed under: Heterocephalus glaber (naked mole-rat)
Lineage: Eukaryota; Metazoa; Chordata; Mammalia; Rodentia; Bathyergidae
Description: lncRNA (ENSHGLG00100028054.2)
Source: RNAcentral
UGGAGCCUCAGCGUAACAGCGAAUCAGUCCUCUCACCUGGUCAGCUACUCAUGGUCCCAGAUGGCUGUGCAGCCCCAGGCUCCCAGUGUCAGGAAAGGAAGAUAAGGGCCCAGGUCCUGCUCUAAAGAAGAUCUGGAUGCCACCCAGCAGGUCCUUCCUACAAGCUCCACUUCUGGGAUGCCAUGCCCUGAGCUUCCUGUAAGCUCCACUUCCGUGAUGACCCUGUGCCGUGAUGCCCUGCCUUGGAGCCAGCUGACUAUGGACUGAACCUCUCCAAACUGUGAGCCAGAAUGAACCUCUCCUCCUUUAACUUGUGGGUGUUGGGUACUGCAUCCCAGCGGUGAGGACAGUGACUUUGGUAUCAG